Gambusia affinis (western mosquitofish) is the source of this 2652-nucleotide long non-coding RNA. RefSeq lists it as uncharacterized. The record is from RefSeq and is a predicted model, not a curated record. NCBI's taxonomy places the organism in Eukaryota, Metazoa, Chordata, Actinopteri, Cyprinodontiformes, Poeciliidae. The transcript is spliced from 6 exons.
GCACUGCAUUUUUUCUAGCUUACGCAGAAAAUACAGCUUGAGUUAUACCAAUUAGCCUCCGAGCUAACCCAGAAGCUAACUCUCCAAGGGCAAGUACCAACGACAUUUCUUUCUGUGUGGAAGGAUAACUUGGACUUGAAACACUACAGUGGACAUUUUUGGACUGUUUUGAGACUUUUCUAGGGUUAGAAAACUGGAGUCUUUAACAGCCGCACAAACACGUCAGCGCGUCCGCCAUCUUUGGUGAAGUCAACAAUGGGCAGUAAAUCAAGGGAAAUGAGCAGAGAAGCUGCCGUAAUUACUGCAAUAAAAGUCAUUUGGGCUAUUUAAAUAUAUAAACAAAUAUCUUUCUGUGUCCAGCCUUUGAAUAUCUAUGUGAGUCGAAUAGUUUCUAGAAAAACAUACAACAGAUGAGUGGAAACAAAGAAGAGACUUCACACAGAUCACUGGAUGUUUACUGGACGCUGCGCUGUUUCCAGCUUUUCCCCUGGAGUUAUUUUUGAUGGAAAGCUUCGAGACCAAUGGACGGAGCAGGUUCGGAGAACUAGAGGCAGCUGGACUCCCACUCCGUCUUCUGUUCUCUGCAGCGAGCAUUUCCCUGCAGGCUGCUUCGAGGAGGCGCCCGGAUUAAAGGAGUCUUUCGGUUUGAAAGUACGUUACAAACGGGUUAUAAAACCGACUGCUGUCCCGUCGAUUUUUGAGAUAAUACCCACAUCUGACGACGAUACCAGCAGAUCCAAACAGCACAGAGAAGCUCCAGUUCCCAGACACUCCCGGAAAAGAGUCUUCCACAGCAGUAUGUCUGCUAAUCAAGCUGCCAUAACGUCAAAGAGGAGCUCCUUUCUUGAUCAAAAGGUCGAAAUAAAAGGGGAAGAGGAGGAACUAGAACCGAAGAAGAUCACUGAGACUAAAGAGGAACAAGAACCAACCAAAGAACACGGUGAACUGUGGAUCUAUGAGGAUGAAGGUCAGAUGGAGACUUGUGAAAACAUAUCCCACAAUGUACCAGAACAGCAGCAGAUUGUAGCAAUGAAGAUGGAACCAGAACCAGAACCCGUGGAGAUUAAAGUGGAACCAUCUCUGUACUGCUGUACAGAUAGUAGUGGAACUAGAACCUUUAGAAGAGGAAUCAGAACCUGUAUUGAAGAAAUGGAAAGGUCUUUCCAGUAAUGCUCAAACCCCAACGGUGUCUGAUGCUUGUAAGCAAAGAGUCAAGAGGAAAUACAAACCAAAAGAAAAGAGCUCCUCUCUGCACAAGGCAGCAAACUUAAGAAACAACAGCAGGCGAAGAGGAACCAGAAACCAUCUGGAGCAAAUGAAAGGCUGAAGCCAGGGGACAUCAGAUCGCCCCUUAACAAGGUUGUUUGUUUUUGAUCUCAACUGAAUCCAACAAAAAGUUUUAUAGUGUAGAGGAAGCAUUUCCGAUGACCUGUGAAGACUCUGGGACAGACGUGUGUCCAGGGUUCCUCGUCUGAAGAUGAGGACCUCGUUCUUCCGGUCCGUCGACCUGAGAGUGAUGACAGAGGUGAUGACGGAGACGAUGAGCCACAGAGAAAAGUCUUGAGGAGGAAUACCAACAGAAGAGAAGAAGAAAAUCCCAAAAAGCUGCUGGUGACGGUGCAACAGUUUGGCAUGGCAAAGAUGAAGAGGAUCAUCAUCAACACCACUUCAGUUUUAACCCAACAAGAAAACCAGGCCUCACCUUGGACCAGGAAAUAUCCUGGACCCACUCUCUCUGUUUCAUUUGUUUUUCAGUGCUUCUGUGAAACACUCAUUGACAGUAAAAAUGCUAACGCUGCCAAAAAUUGGAGAGAAGGACUUCUAUGUUUUCCUGGCAGUUAUUUGUUUUCACAGGCCUUGUAACUGCGCUACAGGUUAGACUACUGGAAGCAAGACUGGAGCAUGUCGAGUUAAUUCUCUGGCUGCUGCACAUUAGCAAUCCAAAGGACGAUUAAGAGAACGAGAAGAAGAACGGCACGUCACAUUACGACCGUCUAUUCAAAAUCAAACCCCUCUACAACCAGAUUGUAAGGAUGUAAACAUUUAGACUCAUAAAUGUGAAAUGUUUUGAUGUAAAAGGUUUUUGCACUUUAAUUAGGCUCCAGUUGGAGUCAAACAAAGCAGCUUAUUGAUUAAAACUAAGUUUGUAGUUUGCAAAAAAUAUUCACAAACAAUCCAUUUUUGUUGUGUGAAAAACAAAAAGAAGAGAAAUCUCCACUUUUCUAAACGAUGCUGAAAUGGCCAAACGUUUAAGUAUGUCUACGUAAAAAGUUAACUUUGUGUUUUGGUUUAUCUCGGCUCCUUUCAUUUUGCACAGGAAUCCAACAGUUUGUAUUCUUGUUAAUCAUACUUUAAAAGGUUUAUGUAGCAUUUAAUGUUGAGAAACCCAUUGAAGGAGGAAAGUAUAUUUUUGUCCAUGUUUCUUAUCUUUUAUAAUAUAUAUUGAGUAUUAUAACAUGAUACCAAAAUUAUUUUAGAGUUUGUAAGGUAUUUGCACAUGAUGCAUCUUGUUGGUGUUUGAAGAGCAUUAAUAAAUCCAAACUGUUAUUCUGAUGAUCCUUUACUGUCAUUGUUUUCCUGUCAGACGUUGAACUGGUUUAGACCACGCAGGUUUCCUGGUUCUGAUCCACUCUGCAUCCCCAGAAUCAAACC